Molecule: ribosomal RNA, 480 nt
Filed under: uncultured bacterium
Lineage: Bacteria
Description: bacterial SSU rRNA
Rfam family: Bacterial small subunit ribosomal RNA
Source: RNAcentral
GAUCAUGGCUCAGAACGAACGCUGGCGGCAUGGAUUAGGCAUGCAAGUCGAACGGGAGCAGCAAUGCUCCAGUGGCGCAAGGGUGAGGAACACGUGAACAACCUGCCUUCGAGUUGGGGAUAGCUUCUGGAAACGGGAGAUAAUACCGAAUAACAUCACCGGAUCGCAUGAUUUGGUGAUCAAAGCAGCAAUGCGCUUGAAGAGGGGUUCGCGUCCCAUUAGCUAGUUGGUGAGGUAACGGCCCACCAAGGCGAUGAUGGGUAGCUGGUCUGAGAGGACGACCAGCCACAUUGGGACUGAGAUACUGCCCAGACUCCUACGGGAGGCUGCAGUCGAGAAUUUUGGGCAAUGGACGAAAGUCUGACCCAGCCAAUGCCGCGUGCGGGAUGAAGGUCUUCGGAUUGUAAACCGCUGUCAAGAGGGACGAAAUAUGACGGUACCUCUGGAGGAAGCCACGGCUAACUACGUGCCAGCAGCCGC